GUCCUGGAACGGUCGGUCCCGAGGAGGGUCCGACCCCGAGGAGGCAGCCAGCAGGUGUCUCGCGCCGGGGCGCACCCGCCUCGAGGAAGGCGCUGGCUCAGAACCCGACGCACGGUAGACGUUGCCAACGGCCUCUGGGCGGCCGGAGCCGCGGUAGGUGAGCUCCGGCUCGGUGGAGAAGGCCCCUACCUGGGGGGCGGGGCCGGGGGCGGGGCUCCGCCCGCACCUGGCCAAUGGGCGCCGGGGGACCCGCCCCGCCCCUCGAGUGGGCGGGGCUUGCGCGCCCGGCCUCCGCGGCGCUCCCCAACCCCCGGGGGGCGGGGCCGGCCGGCGGCGCUCGGCGCUGACGCUGCGCCGACGCGCCCGACGUCGGGCACGUUGACGCCGGCGACGCGCAGCCGGGCCCGCUCCUCCUGCGCUCAGGCAGUGUCCGGCCGCGGGCCGGCCUUGGUGACUGGGGGCUGCGGGCCCGGGGCCGGCGGGCGCGGGCGCGGGCCGCUUUCGUCGGGCCCCGAGCUCGCCCGGAGCGAGCAGCCGCCCGCACGGCGCCGCGGAGCCUCCUCGCCCGCUCCCGCCGGCGAGCAAGGUAAGGAGCGGGAGACUGAGGCAGGCUGGGGCGGAGCGGGGCGGAGCGGGGCCGCGGGCGCCCGGGCGCCGGCCCCUCCCCGCGGCGGCCCCCUCCCCGCGGCGGCGCUCGCUGUCAGCCCCCGGGCGCGGAGGCGGUGGGCCCCGGCGGGGCGCCCCGAGGCCGGGCUCCUGGGGCCGCGGCGCCCCGGGGGCCCCGGGUCAGUCCCGGGUCAGCCCCGGGUCAGCCCCGCGCCGGGCUCGGGGGCCGAGGACCUGUGGCCGGGGAAGCCGCGGCCCGGGCUGCGCUCCAGCUGUCAGCGGUGCCCCGCGGUCCGGGGUCCGGGGCCCGGGGCCCUGCAGCGCGGCGCUGGGCGAGGGGCGAGGAGGUCGCGGCGGUCGCGGCGUCGCCGCCCCCGGGGCUCCAGCCUCCUCCCGCGGCGCCCGCCUGCUGUGGGCCUCGCUGGCGGCGUCUCCUUCUCCCCUUUCCCUUCUCCUCCGUCCUCCUCCCUGUCCUUUCUUCCGUCUUGCUUCCUCCUCCGCUCCCUCCUAGCCGUCCGCGGCCGCACCGACCUGCUCCAUGCCCGGUGUGCAAGUUUCCUUUCUAAUACUCUUUUCUUUUUUUCCCUCCGGCCGUAA
This 1203-nucleotide long non-coding RNA is filed under the name Canis lupus familiaris (dog). RNAcentral's name for it is "lncRNA (ENSCAFG00030024772.1)". Lineage: Eukaryota; Metazoa; Chordata; Mammalia; Carnivora; Canidae. The record is from RNAcentral.